Molecule: transfer RNA, 73 nt
Filed under: Bos taurus (domestic cattle)
Lineage: Eukaryota; Metazoa; Chordata; Mammalia; Artiodactyla; Bovidae
Also listed under: 1 other name
Rfam family: tRNA
About the family: Transfer RNA (tRNA) molecules are approximately 80 nucleotides in length. Their secondary structure includes four short double-helical elements and three loops (D, anti-codon, and T loops).
Source: Rfam by way of RNAcentral
UCCCUGGUUGUCCAGUGGCUAAGACUCCUUGCUUCCAAUGCAGGGUGCACAGGUUCAAUCCCUGGCCAGGGAA